UACGGAGGGUGCGAGCGUUAAUCGGAAUUACUGGGCGUAAAGGGUGCGUAGGUGGUUUGAUAAGUUAGCUGUAAAAUCCCCGGGCUUAACCUGGGCAGGUCAGCUAAGACUGUUAGACUUGAGUACAGGAGAGGGCAGUGGAAUUUCCGGUGUAGCGGUGAAAUGCGUAGAGAUCGGAAGGAACACCAGUGGCGAAGGCGGCUGCCUGGCCUGAUACUGACACUGAGGCACGAAAGCGUGGGGAGCAAACAGG
Molecule: ribosomal RNA, 253 nt
Filed under: uncultured bacterium
Lineage: Bacteria
Description: partial 16S ribosomal RNA
Rfam family: Bacterial small subunit ribosomal RNA
Source: RNAcentral